Molecule: ribosomal RNA, 458 nt
Filed under: uncultured bacterium
Lineage: Bacteria
Description: partial 16S ribosomal RNA
Rfam family: Bacterial small subunit ribosomal RNA
Source: RNAcentral
CCUACGGGCGGCAGCAGUGAGGAAUAUUGGUCAAUGGGCGAGAGCCUGAACCAGCCAAGUCGCGUGAGGGAGUACUGCCCUAUGGGUUGUAAACCUCUUUUGUCGGGGAGCAAAAGCCGGACGUGUCCGGCUGUGAGAGUACCCGAAGAAAAAGCAUCGGCUAACUCCGUGCCAGCAGCCGCGGUAAUACGGAGGAUGCGAGCGUUAUCCGGAUGUAUUGGGUUAAAAGGGUGCGCAGGCGGAUUUUUAAGUCAGCGGUAAAAUCGUGGGGCUCAACCCCAUCCAGCCGUUGAAACUGGGGAUCUAGAGUGUGCGAGAGGUAUGCGGAAUGCGUGGUGUAGCGGUGAAAUGCAUAGAUAUCACGCAGAACCCCGAUUGCGAAGGCAGCAUACCGGUGCACAACUGACGCUCAGGCACGAAAGCGUUGGUAUCGAACAGGAUUAGAUACCCCAGUAGUC